GACGAACGCUGGCGGCGUGCUUAACACAUGCAAGUCGAACGGUGAAGCGCCUUCCUUUUUGGUGGGUGUGGAUGAGUGGCGAACGGGUGAGUAACACGUGAGUAACCUGCCCCCUUCUUCUGGAUAACCGCAUGAAAGUGUGGCUAAUACGGGAUAUUCUGGGUCUGUCGCAUGAUGGGUCUGGGAAAGAUAUUGUUUCGGUGGGGGAUGGGCUCGCGGCCUAUCAGCUUGUUGGUGGGGUGAUGGCCUACCAAGGCGGUGACGGGUAGCCGGCCUGAGAGGGUGGACGGUCACACUGGGACUGAGACACGGCCCAGACUCCUACGGGAGGCAGCAGUGGGGAAUAUUGCACAAUGGGCGCAAGCCUGAUGCAGCGACGCCGCGUGAGGGAUGGAGGCCUGCGGGUUGUGAACCUCUUUCGCCAGUGAAGCAGGCCUGCCUCGUUUGUGGGUGGGUUGACGGUAGCUGGAUAAGAAGCUCCGGCUAACUACGUG
Molecule: ribosomal RNA, 494 nt
Filed under: uncultured bacterium
Lineage: Bacteria
Description: partial 16S ribosomal RNA
Rfam family: Bacterial small subunit ribosomal RNA
Source: RNAcentral